AGACAGUGCCUACGGGAAGCAGCAGUGGGGAAUAUUGGGCAAUGGGCGCAAGCCUGACCCAGCAACGCCGCGUGAAGGAAGAAGGCUUUCGGGUUGUAAACUUCUUUUCUGAGGGACGAAGAAAGUGACGGUACCUCAGGAAUAAGCCACGGCUAACUACGUGCC
RNAcentral lists this ribosomal RNA (165 nucleotides) under uncultured bacterium. RNAcentral's name for it is "partial 16S ribosomal RNA". It matches the Rfam family "Bacterial small subunit ribosomal RNA", at positions 330 to 509 of the family's 1533-position model. The record is from RNAcentral.